UUAAUGAGAAAAUGAUGAGAUUCAAACAGGGCCUUAAUCUCGUUUGCUUCAAGCAAAGUCUUUGAUACAUACAUACAUACAUAUGUAUGUAUGUGUGUGUAUAUAUAUAUAUAUAGCAGUGUACUAUUUUGUCACCCAAACAAUAGCUAAGCACCAAUAAUGCUACAUAACAGGAAAAUGCAUAGGUCUCAACAUUAUACAAGGAUUUGCAAAUUUGUCAGGCUGCUUGCUGAAAUUCUAAACACAUCACCCGAAACCCAGAAUGUUAUUGUUUGCACUUGGAGAUUUUCUGCAAUCAACCCAUAAUUCAUACAAGAAACAGCAAAAGAUUGUAAUAUUCUUAUUUUCACCAAGAAAACAUCCAUGUUUCACAAGGAAAGCCAAAUCCAUAGUCCAGAGUUCUAACAGUUGAGCAUAACAGCGGUUAAAUGAAAAGGACACAAGGGUUCAUGUGGACCAUCACUUUAGUACUCGAACUGACAAUGAAAGUGCAAGAGAUUUGACUUCCCUCCCCGUUGGUUUGUUACUUCUUUCCUCGCAGCUUCGCUCCGAGAGCCCUCUCGAGUUUAGAAAUUAUCUGCUGA
Molecule: long non-coding RNA, 584 nt
Filed under: Olea europaea subsp. europaea
Lineage: Eukaryota; Viridiplantae; Streptophyta; Magnoliopsida; Lamiales; Oleaceae
Source: RNAcentral